UUUGAAUCUUGCCUUGGAGCUCUUGCCGCGCGGCCCAGCACCCUGGAAGAGGCAUCAGGGAGGAUGGGACGACGAGGAAGGGGAAGGUUAUGAAGGGCUGUGACACCUUGCUUGGCUUCUAGUCUUGACAUAGACUAAAAGGCAGAAGGUUUCCAGAGCUCACGCUGGAUGGCUGGGCAGAUGAGGUCUUCAGAGACUCUCCAGGGAGGUACGGCUCUGCCUUUCUACUCAGUAUGCAAGCUCCCCAGACUUCUGAAGAGGGAUGUUUCUCCUUAGAGAAAGUCUCCCUGAAUGUGGGUAUUUCAUAAGUUCUUGGACCAGUUCUGCUCUUCUCAGUCCUGCUUUUUGUCAACAUACAUUGAAUCACUUCUCCCUGGCAAAAGAGCAGCAUGUGAAGAAAAUGUGAUCCUUGGUGGUUUGACAUGAAAUUGACUUUUUCUUCUAGCAACACUUAUGAAUAUUCAAAUACAAUUAUGGAAAAGAUUUUUUGCACUGAUCAGCAUAACAAACAAAUUAGACAUCCCAGUGUGCAAAUAUAACUUUCUGAAUUUCCUAGUUUUAAAUAUUCCAGUGGCCAGGAUACCCUAUCCAGAGGAAGCAGGACCGUCUCAGCUGACCAGGGCCCUUGCCUGCUAAUAGCAUCAUGCAUACCUUGUUUCUUCAUGAGGCUGCUUGCCCGAGUUCCAAUCCACCAGGAAUUCAUCUUGUAUCAUAGCUGAUGGAUCCCGUGUCUCGUUUCUAAGUUGGAGCAUCACUUUGCAGCUCCCAACCAGGGCCAGCCACAAAAUUUGAAAGGCCCAGUGCAAAAUAAAAAUGCAGAGCCCCUUGUUCAAAAAGCAGGAAAAGAAUGGGCCAGCAAAGGAACUAAAAUAAACGAAAGCUUUUCCCUUUC
This 892-nucleotide long non-coding RNA is filed under the name Homo sapiens (human). RNAcentral's name for it is "HSALNT0353443". The record is from RNAcentral. Lineage: Eukaryota; Metazoa; Chordata; Mammalia; Primates; Hominidae.